Pocillopora damicornis (cauliflower coral) is the source of this 786-nucleotide long non-coding RNA. The record is from RefSeq and is a predicted model, not a curated record. Lineage: Eukaryota; Metazoa; Cnidaria; Anthozoa; Scleractinia; Pocilloporidae.
CUGCGGCGACACGAAUCAACUACACACGAAUUUGGGACAAGAAUGGAUGUAGCUUUAAAAAGCCCCGAAAAAUGCCAUUUUUUUGGAUCAUUCGACGAAACACGUGGUAGUGAAGAACUUCCAACAACCUUCCAUGUGAGUGUGACGUCACACCCGUUCCACGACGCCGAGGAGAGAGGUCAAUUUGACAAAAGUGAACAGAACUUAGUAACGCAGCUCUUUCCAGAAUUUUUCAUCCGACAUAGCUCAUCGGAUGGUGCCCCUGAAAGUUGGAAGAUCGUAAUGUGUGGUAACCGGAGACUGGACUACAGACGUAACGACCCACUUAUCCAGUCCUGGCUCAACAUGUACGGCUGUAACCAUUAAGGAGGGUUUGCGACCCAACUGGCUGUUCAGUAAGACAAUCAUGAACUAUGAUAAACAAUGACACGAAAAACUGAUGACAAAAAAUGUUUUUUAGCAAAUAAAUGAGAGGUAAGAUAAAGAACAAAUAUACCGUCAGCGGAGUGCUUUUUUGCAUGGUAAAAUGGAAUUUCCGAAGAAAAUUUGUAAGGAGAUCUCCAUAGGAAAACGUAGAUUGCGAUGUACUCGAACUGUUUAACGACCGAAACUUUCACUUUCCAGAACUUUCGGUUUUUAUAGCAAGGCUUUUUUUUUAUAAACACAGCAGUCUGAAUAAUUAGCUCAAAUUAAACUUGAAAGAAAUGGAAGAUAAAGGAGAUAUGGUGCAUCUUUGGAAGUUGUAAUAUCAAAUAAUGUUGUAAAUAAAAGGAUUUGUAUGCUGGA